This 442-nucleotide ribosomal RNA is filed under the name uncultured bacterium. RNAcentral describes it as "partial 16S ribosomal RNA". It matches the Rfam family "Bacterial small subunit ribosomal RNA", at positions 338 to 795 of the family's 1533-position model. The record is from RNAcentral.
CCUACGGGAGGCAGCAGUGGGGAAUAUUGGGCAAUGGGCGCAAGCCUGACCCAGCAACGCCGCGUGAAGGAAGAAGGCUUUCGGGUUGUAAACUUCUUUUGACAGGGAAGAGCAGAAGACGGUACCUGUCGAAUAAGCCACGGCUAACUACGUGCCAGCAGCCGCGGUAAUACGUAGGUGGCAAGCGUUGUCCGGAUUUACUGGGGGUAAAGGGCGUGUAGCCGGGCUGACAAGUCAGAUGUGAAAUCCGGGGGCUCAACCCCCGAACUGCAUUUGAAACUGUUGGUCUUGAGUAUCGGAGAGGCAGGCGGAAUUCCUAGUGUAGCGGUGAAAUGCGUAGAUAUUAGGAGGAACACCAGUGGCGAAGGCGGCUUACUGGACUGUAACUGACGUUGAGGCUCGAAAGCGUGGGGAGCAAACAGGAUUAGAUACCCCAGUAGUC